UUCGCCCUACGGGAGGCAGCAGUGGGGGAUAUUGCACAAUGGGGGAAACCCUGAUGCAGCGACGCCGCGUGGGCGAAGAAGUAUUUCGGUAUGUAAAGCCCUAUCAGCAGGGAAGAAGAAAUGACGGUACCUGAGUAAGAAGCACCGGCUAACUACGUGCCAGCAGCCGCGGUAAUACGUAGGGGGCAAGCGUUAUCCGGAUUUACUGGGUGUAAAGGGGGCGCAGACGGCGAUGCAAGCCAGGAGUGAAAGCCCGGGGCCCAACCCCGGGACUGCUCUUGGAACUGCGUGGCUGGAGUGCAGGG
Molecule: ribosomal RNA, 305 nt
Filed under: uncultured bacterium
Lineage: Bacteria
Description: bacterial SSU rRNA
Rfam family: Bacterial small subunit ribosomal RNA
Source: RNAcentral